Molecule: ribosomal RNA, 520 nt
Filed under: uncultured Entrophospora
Lineage: Eukaryota; Fungi; Glomeromycota; Glomeromycetes; Entrophosporales; Entrophosporaceae
Description: SSU rRNA
Rfam family: Eukaryotic small subunit ribosomal RNA
Source: RNAcentral
AGCAGCCGCGGUAAUUCCAGCUCCAAUAGCGUAUAUUAAAGUUGUUGCAGUUAAAAAGCUCGUAGUUGAAUUUCGGGAUUGACGUGAUGGUCAUGCCUUAAGGGGUAUGAACUGUUACUGUUGAUUUCUCACCUUCUGGAGAAACUUGAUGUCCUUUAUUGAGUGUCUUGCGGAUCCAGGACCUUUACCUUGAAAAAUUAGAGUGUUUAAAGCAGGCAUUUUUGCUCGAAUACAUUAGCAUGGAAUAAUAGAAUAGGACGGCAUGGUUCUAUUUUGUUGGUUUCUAGGAUCACCGUAAUGAUUAAUAGGGAUAGGUUGGGGGCAUUAGUAUUCAAUUGUCAGAGGUGAAAUUCUUGGAUUUAUUGAAGACUAACUACUGCGAAAGCAUUUGACCAAGGAUGUUUUCAUUAAUCAAGAACGAAAGUUAGGGGAUCGAAGACGAUCAGAUACCGUCGUAGUCUUAACCAUAAACUAUGCCGACUAGGAAUCAGACGAUUAGUUUAAUUUUUUAAUGACUUCG